AGAGUUUGAUUAUGGCUCAGGAUGAACGCUGGCGGCAUGCCUAAUACAUGCAAGUCGAACGGGAGUGCUUGCACUCCAGUGGCGAACGGGUGAGUAAUACAUAGGUAACCUGUCCUUAAGACGAGGAUAGCUUCUAGAAAUGGAAGAUAAAACUGGAUAGGACAUCACAAAUCACAUGAUUAGAUGUUUAAAAGAGCAAUCUACUUAAGGAGGGGCCUGUGGCGCAUUAGCCAGAUGGCGGGGUAAUGGCCCACCAUAGCGAUGAUGCGUAGCCAGUCUGAGAGGACGAACGGCCACAUUGGGACUGAGACACGGCCCAGACUCCUACGGGAGGCAGCAGUAGGGAAUUUUCGGCAAUGGGCGGAAGCCUGACCGAGCAAUGCCGCGUGAAUGAAGAAGUAUUUCGGUAUGUAAAGUUCUUUUAUUUGGGACGAAAAAACAAAUUGACGGUACCAAAUGAAUAAGCCCCGGCUAACUAUGUGCCAGCCGCCGC
This 493-nucleotide ribosomal RNA is filed under the name uncultured bacterium. RNAcentral describes it as "bacterial SSU rRNA". It matches the Rfam family "Bacterial small subunit ribosomal RNA", at positions 8 to 518 of the family's 1533-position model. The record is from RNAcentral.